CCUGGCUCAGGAUGAACGCUAGCUACAGGCUUAACACAUGCAAGUCGAGGGGCAGCAUGGUCUUAGCUUGCUAAGGCCGAUGGCGACCGGCGCACGGGUGAGUAACACGUAUCCAACCUGCCGUCUACUCUUGGACAGCCUUCUGAAAGGAAGAUUAAUACAAGAUGGCAUCAUGAGUCCGCAUGUUCACAUGAUUAAAGGUAUUCCGGUAGACGAUGGGGAUGCGUUCCAUUAGAUAGUAGGCGGGGUAACGGCCCACCUAGUCUUCGAUGGAUAGGGGUUCUGAGAGGAAGGUCCCCCACAUUGGAACUGAGACACGGUCCAAACUCCUACGGGAGGCAGCAGUGAGGAAUAUUGGUCAAUGGGCGAGAGCCUGAACCAGCCAAGUAGCGUGAAGGAUGACUGCCCUAUGGGUUGUAAACUUCUUUUAUAAAGGAAUAAAGUCGGGUAUGGAUACCCGUUUGCAUGUACUUUAUGAAUAAGGAUCGGCUAACUCCGUGCCAGCAGCCGCGGUAAUACGGAGGAUCCGAGCGUUAUCCGGAUUUAUUGGGUUUAAAGGGAGCGUAGAUGGAUGUUUAAGUCAGUUGUGAUAGUUUGCGGCUCAACCGUAAAAUUGCAGUUGAUACUGGAUAUCUUGAGUGCAGUUGAGGCAGGCGGAAUUCGUGGUGUAGCGGUGAAAUGCUUAGAUAUCACGAAGAACUCCGAUUGCGAAGGCAGCCUGCUAAGCUGCAACUGACAUUGAGGCUCGAAAGUGUGGGUAUCAAACAGGAUUAGAUACCCUGGUAGUCCACACGGUAAACGAUGAAUACUCGCUGUUUGCGAUAUACUGCAAGCGGCCAAGCGAAAGCGUUAAGUAUUCCACCUGGGGAGUACGCCGGCAACGGUGAAACUCAAAGGAAUUGACGGGGGCCCGCACAAGCGGAGGAACAUGUGGUUUAAUUCGAUGAUACGCGAGGAACCUUACCCGGGCUUAAAUUGCAGAUGAAUUACGGUGAAAGCCGUAAGCCGCAAGGCAUCUGUGAAGGUGCUGCAUGGUUGUCGUCAGCUCGUGCCGUGAGGUGUCGGCUUAAGUGCCAUAACGAGCGCAACCCUUGUUGUCAGUUACUAACAGGUUCCGCUGAGGACUCUGACAAGACUGCCAUCGUAAGAUGUGAGGAAGGUGGGGAUGACGUCAAAUCAGCACGGCCCUUACGUCCGGGGCUACACACGUGUUACAAUGGGGGGUACAGAGGGCCGCUACCACGCGAGUGGAUGCCAAUCCCCAAAACCUCUCUCAGUUCGGACUGGAGUCUGCAACCCGACUCCACGAAGCUGGAUUCGCUAGUAAUCGCGCAUCAGCCACGGCGCGGUGAAUACGUUCCCGGGCCUUGUACACACCGCC
This 1381-nucleotide ribosomal RNA is filed under the name uncultured bacterium. RNAcentral's name for it is "bacterial SSU rRNA". It matches the Rfam family "Bacterial small subunit ribosomal RNA", at positions 18 to 1394 of the family's 1533-position model. The record is from RNAcentral.